CCUACGGGAGGCAGCAGUGGGGAAUAUUGGACAAUGGGGGGAACCCUGAUCCAGCGACGCCGCGUGAGUGAAGAAGUAUUUCGGUAUGUAAAGCUCUAUCAGCAGGGAAGAAAAUGACGGUACCUGACUAAGAAGCCCCGGCUAACUACGUGCCAGCAGCCGCGGUAAUACGUAGGGGGCAAGCGUUAUCCGGAUUUACUGGGUGUAAAGGGAGCGUAGACGGUGUAGCAAGUCUGAUGUGAAAGUUCGGGGCCCAACCCCGGGACUGCAUUGGAAACUGGUAAACUGGAGUGCAGGUGAGGUAAGCGGAAUUCGUAGUGUAGCGGUGAAAUGCGUAGAUAUUAGGAGGAACACCAGUGGCGAAGGCGGCUUACUGAACUGUAACUGACGUUGAGGCUCGAAAGCGUGGGGAGCAAACAGGAUUAGAUACCCGGGUAGUC
RNAcentral lists this ribosomal RNA (440 nucleotides) under uncultured bacterium. RNAcentral describes it as "partial 16S ribosomal RNA". It matches the Rfam family "Bacterial small subunit ribosomal RNA", at positions 338 to 795 of the family's 1533-position model. The record is from RNAcentral.